This 1257-nucleotide long non-coding RNA is filed under the name Anas platyrhynchos platyrhynchos (common mallard). RNAcentral describes it as "lncRNA (ENSAPLG00000018408.1)". Lineage: Eukaryota; Metazoa; Chordata; Aves; Anseriformes; Anatidae. The record is from RNAcentral.
AUGGGAUAUUUAAUCUGUUCUCUGAAGUGUCACAUUUUAUUUAAUAGCGUAAGAAAAAGUAGGAUGUCACUUGUAUUGUUACUGUUCAACCUUCGAAAACAUAUAGAGUGUAUUCAAAGGAUCUUGUACUAUUCUAAAGUUGUUGUGCUCCAUUGUUGUCUUCAGAAACUGUUACACUUUGUCACUAAGAUAACGAAGAGAUUGGACAUGCAUCACCUGGAAAAAGUGUAUGGCGUCAUUAUUCAGUGCAUUUACAAUCAUCGAGAAGACUACGACAAAACCGAUUUGGUGGAGGAAAUUAAGAAAGAAAUCUCAGCCUUCUGGUCCGACACGUAGUACAAUUUAGUCAAUAGUGUCUCAUAUAGGUAUAUAAAAUUUCAUAUAUAGGUUAUUUUAAGAUAUUUUAAACAAAUUUGUUUAUUUGACCUUUCUUCAAUAUACUUAAGUACUUUUAUUUGAUAUUUUUGUUCUGUAUCUGUAGCUCUCUAUUUAUUAUCCUAUACAUGCAUAUAUAUGUGUAUGUAUAUAGCAUGAUAAAUAGCAAGCUUGGCAGAAGGAAUGGAAUAUACAGAGUCUUCUGAAAUCACAGGACAUGACUUUCAUUUCCAUUACACAACACCUUAAUUUUCCAUCUUCUUUUUAUCGGAGCUACUGCUGACAGUGCCUGUGUAACACUGUAGAUUUGAACGUCUUUCGGAUACUGCCAAUACCUCUUUUUAAAAGAAAAUGACUGAAAACUGGAUAGACUUUUAACGGACUUUGUCAGCUCUUCAGAAUAUAUUUGUCUGAAGUAACCUGUGGUGCUCCGUAUUCCACUGGACGCUACAUAAAUGUCUUAAAAGAAACCUAUAUAUGAAAUGCAAAUCGUUCAGAAACCUCCUAUUGCAGUUUAGUGCAGGAGGUAUUUUUAUGUCCUAUAAAAACUUGUAAACCUCCUUGACCUUAGUGCAGGAGGUAUCUAUUUUUAUAAUUUACUGAUAGCACCUUAAAGGGCUUUCAUAGUAUUAACAUGCUAGAGAAAGUAUGUGGGAGAAACACUUUCCACAAACACAAGGUUUUUGCCUAUUAAAAGUAAACGACACAAACUGAAGCAAAGCAAGAUUUGCUUAUUGCAACUUUCUAGUGCAAAGCUAAGUCUUGCUUCUAACAAUGACAGUGUUGCUGAUACCAGAGAAUGCCAUUUUAAUACGAAAAACUAGUUACAAGAAAGCCUUAUAGUUGAAUAAAAUGUUUUCUACUGACCUGGAGAUAAUUAUA